This 548-nucleotide ribosomal RNA is filed under the name uncultured bacterium. RNAcentral's name for it is "bacterial SSU rRNA". It matches the Rfam family "Bacterial small subunit ribosomal RNA", at positions 355 to 895 of the family's 1533-position model. The record is from RNAcentral.
UAGGGAAUCUUCGGCAAUGGGGGCAACCCUGACCGAGCAACGCCGCGUGAGUGAAGAAGGUUUUCGGAUCGUAAAGCUCUGUUGUAAGUCAAGAACGAGUGUGAGAGUGGAAAGUUCACACUGUGACGGUAGCUUACCAGAAAGGGACGGCUAACUACGUGCCAGCAGCCGCGGUAAUACGUAGGUCCCGAGCGUUGUCCGGAUUUAUUGGGCGUAAAGCGAGCGCAGGCGGUUUGAUAAGUCUGAAGUUAAAGGCUGUGGCUCAACCAUAGUUCGCUUUGGAAACUGUCAAACUUGAGUGCAGAAGGGGAGAGUGGAAUUCCAUGUGUAGCGGUGAAAUGCGUAGAUAUAUGGAGGAGCACCGGUGGCGAAAGCGGCUCUCUGGUCUGUAACUGACGCUGAGGCUCGAAAGCGUGGGGAGCGAACAGGAUUAGAUACCCUGGUAGUCCACGCCGUNNNGAUGAGUGCUAGGUGUUGGAUCCUUUCCGGGAUUCAGUGCCGCAGCUAACGCANUAANCACUCCNCCUGGGGAGUACNACCGCNAGGUU